AACGCACCUUGCGCUCCUUGGUAUUCCGAGGAGCAUGCCUGUUUGAGUGUCAUUAAAUUCUCAACCUUUAUCAACUUUUUAAGUAGAUAAAUGGCUUGGAUGUGGGGGUUGCCGGUUUCUCUUUUGAAAUCAGCUCUCCUGAAAUAUAUUAGCUGGUUGCCUUGUGUAAACCUGUCUAUUGGUGUGAUAAUUAUCUACGCCGUGGACUAUUUACCGUUUUUAAGCACUGCUUCUAACCGUCUGUUCAUUCGGACAAUCUAUGACAAUUUGACCUCAAAUCAGGUAGGACUACCCGCUGAACUUAA
RNAcentral lists this unclassified non-coding RNA (305 nucleotides) under uncultured Stropharia. RNAcentral's name for it is "sequence contains ITS2". The stretch from base 1 to 52 matches the Rfam family "5.8S ribosomal RNA", at positions 103 to 154 of the family's 154-position model. The record is from RNAcentral. Lineage: Eukaryota; Fungi; Basidiomycota; Agaricomycetes; Agaricales; Strophariaceae.